UACGUAGGUCCCGAGCGUUGUCCGGAUUUAUUGGGCGUAAAAGCGAGCGCAGGCGGUUUUGAUAAGUCUGAAGUUAAAAGGCUGUGGCUCAACCAUAGUUCGCUUUUGGAAAACUGUCAAAACUUGAGUGCAGAAGGGGAGAGUGGAAUUCCAUGUGUAGCGGUGAAAAUGCGUAGAUAUAUGGAGGAACACCGGUGGCGAAAAGCGGCUCUCUGGUCUGUAAACUGACGCUGAGGCUCGAAAAGCGUGGGGAGCGAACAGGAUUAGACUACCCCCGUAGUC
RNAcentral lists this ribosomal RNA (282 nucleotides) under uncultured bacterium. RNAcentral's name for it is "partial 16S ribosomal RNA". It matches the Rfam family "Bacterial small subunit ribosomal RNA", at positions 524 to 795 of the family's 1533-position model. The record is from RNAcentral.